UCAACCAACUUUGUGAGGUGGAGUCAAAAAUCAAAUGCAAAACUCAAAUCUUCCACCUCUACUUAUGAGACUGAAAAGUGGAUGAGAGUGAACAGAUGACAAACAACUUACAUAAUGUAUUACAGGACAGGGCUGCUGCUUUUAACUGUCUGCCUGGCAGGUGUUGAUGGUCAGACUCUGACUGAGUCUGAACCAGCAGUUAAAAGGCCUGGAGAAUCCCACAGACUGACCUGUACAGCCUCUGGAUUCACAUUCAGCAGCUACUAUAUGGCCUGGGUCAGACAGGCUCCUGGAAAAGCACUGGAGUGGAUCGCAAGAAUUACCAACAGUGGUAGCAGCACUUGGUACUCUCAGUCAGUUCAAGGUCGGUUCACCAUCUCCAGAGACAACAACAGACAGCAGCUGUAUCUGCAGAUGAACAGUCUGAAGACUGAAGAUUCUGCUGUUUAUUAUUGUGCUCGAGAGGCACGCUGACUGAGGUUGUUGUAGCAGCUGU
Molecule: non-coding RNA, 496 nt
Organism: Oreochromis niloticus (Nile tilapia)
Lineage: Eukaryota; Metazoa; Chordata; Actinopteri; Cichliformes; Cichlidae
Source: the annotation of a RefSeq genome assembly